GGGCGCUUGGUCUAGGGGUAUGAUUGUAAGUUGCACUACUCAACAAUAGAACUAAAGCAGUGUUCUAACAAGCAAUAGUUCGCUUCGCAUCAAUUGAUGAACCUGUGAAAGGUCGUGGGUUCAAUUCCCACAGCGUCCA
This is a non-coding RNA of Macroventuria anomochaeta, 139 nucleotides long. The record is from the annotation of a RefSeq genome assembly. NCBI's taxonomy places the organism in Eukaryota, Fungi, Ascomycota, Dothideomycetes, Pleosporales, Didymellaceae.